Molecule: ribosomal RNA, 412 nt
Filed under: uncultured Oscillospiraceae bacterium
Lineage: Bacteria; Bacillati; Bacillota; Clostridia; Eubacteriales; Oscillospiraceae
Description: bacterial SSU rRNA
Rfam family: Bacterial small subunit ribosomal RNA
Source: RNAcentral
UGGGGGAAUAUUGGGCAAUGGGCGAAAGCCUGACCCAGCAACGCCGCGUGAAGGAAGAAGGCCCUCGGGUUGUAAACUUCUUUUACCAGGGACGAAGGACGUGACGGUACCUGGAGAAAAAGCAACGGCUAACUACGUGCCAGCAGCCGCGGUAAUACGUAGGUUGCAAGCGUUGUCCGGAUUUACUGGGUGUAAAGGGCGUGUAGGCGGAGAUGCAAGUUGGGAGUGAAAUCCAUGGGCUCAACCCAUGAACUGCUCUCAAAACUGUAUCCCUUGAGUAUCGGAGAGGCAAGCGGAAUUCCUAGUGUAGCGGUGAAAUGCGUAGAUAUUAGGAGGAACACCAGUGGCGAAGGCGGCUUGCUGGACGACAACUGACGCUGAGGCGCGAAAGCGUGGGGAGCAAACAGGAUUA